GCGGAUGUAGCUCAGUUGGCUAGAGCACCUGGUUGUGGCCCAGGGGGUCGUGAGUUCAAGCCUCAUCAUUCGCCCCA
Molecule: transfer RNA, 77 nt
Filed under: Desulfovibrio sp.
Lineage: Bacteria; Pseudomonadati; Thermodesulfobacteriota; Desulfovibrionia; Desulfovibrionales; Desulfovibrionaceae
Description: tRNA-His
Rfam family: tRNA
About the family: Transfer RNA (tRNA) molecules are approximately 80 nucleotides in length. Their secondary structure includes four short double-helical elements and three loops (D, anti-codon, and T loops).
Source: RNAcentral